This 3787-nucleotide long non-coding RNA is filed under the name Theobroma cacao (cacao). RNAcentral describes it as "long non-coding RNA (TCAC_LNC001707)". Lineage: Eukaryota; Viridiplantae; Streptophyta; Magnoliopsida; Malvales; Malvaceae. The record is from RNAcentral.
GAAUUUUCAACUUUAAAUCUCCAUUUUUAAGGCUAAAAGGUACAUACUUUCAACUCUUGGACUUUAUGAAUUUAUGGCUUAUAUUUUCAGAUUUUAUUUCCUACUUUCUUCAAAUUCUUUUUCUUGAAAAUAUUAGGUUUUUGUUGAUGUUUAUGCCUCCAAGCUCACCAAGGUAAAAAACCUUUAAAUUGGAAUAGUUGAUAUGAUGGGUUUGAGAAUUAGACUAGAAUUCUAGGUUAAAAAAAAUUAGGCUAGAAUGUAGUUUAUCAAGAGUAUGGUUAUUAGAAUUAUUAAGUUUAAAUUUAUGAUAUAUUUGAAGCUAUUAUUGUUUAUUGGCAAUUAUAGGUUUUAAUGGUAUUUCGGGACUACCUGGAUUAAGAUCUUGUGGAUGUUAGUCUUGUUAAGUGGCAUUGUUAAGGUGAGUAACUUGCAUUUUAUUUGAUUUUUUUUCUCUAAAUCAUGCUUAGGAACAAGCCCUUGAUGAAACAUUUUAUGUUGUAAAAUGUGUAAUGUGAUGAACCCAUGUGUCCAUAUAUUCUGAUGAUAUAUAUGUUUGCUUUGAAUGAUAAUAUUGUGUGAUAAUUGUAACCACGCGUGAGCAGUGUGGGAGUGCACAUGCCUGUGAUGAUGGGUGAUUCCAGCUAUGUGCAGUGUGGGAGUGCACAGGAGCUGAUUACCGGUGGAUGAUGAUUCUAGCUAUGUGCGGUGUGGGAGUGCACAUGAGCUAAUGAGUUGGUGGUUGUAUACAUGUUUACACAUACCAUAGAAAUGUUAGAGAAAAUAUUAUGUGAUUGCAAUGAAUGUUCAAUGUUGAAAUUGCUAAUUGUUUCCAAAUUGAUUUUCAAUGCAACGAAAAAAAAAACUCUCUAUCUUGCUUGUCUUGCUCGAAUAUUUACUGUGGUUUUCACUUUUUGAUUUCAUUAUGGAUCAUGGAUCCUUUAACACUAAGGGAUUAAAUAAUCAAAGGUCGAAUUGAGGGGUUUUACGACGAAUUAAACUAAAUUGCAUUGUUUUUAACAUAAGUGCAUCAUGAUUUCUAAACUUUCCUUAUCAUUUGCUUGUUCCCUUCCUGUGUUCACUCACUGGGUUUAUUGUCAAGCCCAACUUUACAAUAUGUUUAUUAUGUCAUUCCUACAUAAGAAUGCAUGUUUGCUUACUUGGGUACCUUGAAAAUCGUUAAGGACGAUAUUGUACCAAAUGGUACAAUUAAGUUGAAUUAAGCCUCGAACUAGUCCAAAUAGAGAUUUUAAGAUGAAAUUGAGAAUUUUAAAAUCCCAAAAUGACUUAAAAAUGGUGAUUCAGAGUUCGAGGACCGAUUUGGAGUCAAAUUGGAAUUUUCAUGACCUAGGGGUAAAAUGGUCAUUUUGCCACCCGAGGUUAAGAUGUGAGUGUUGGAUGACAUUUUUGACUAAGAUUGAUCAUUUGGAGUAUAAUUUGAGUUUGAGAAGUGAAAAAUUUUAAUUCCGGCAUUUUUCGAGCAUAAAGGGUAAAAUAGUCAUUUUGUCACCCUAGGGGCAAAAUUGGAAUUUUUCACCACUCAACACUUGUCCAGCACAUGAAUUUCACCCAUUAUUAUUAUGGAUAAUUGAGGAAUUUUAUGUGGUGGAGAAAGAAAGCUUAAUAGUUAAGAAUUUAAAAAUGGACCAAUGGUAAGGUGACAAGUGUCAAGAUUUUAUUUCUUUAUUAUUUUCCUUAUAAAUUAGCACAAAACCAGCCCAUUUCUCUUCAUUAUGGUCACCCUCACCAAGGAGAAGUAAGAAAAAGGAAGAAAAAACCCUAGGUGGAAAAAUUCAAGGGAAAAGUGUGAAAAUUCAAGGAAACAAGUGAAAAAGGUAAGAUUUUUUCAAUUUAAGCUUGAGAUCUCUCUUUCGUAAGCAUUUUUUCUUAUUUGCCAUGGUUGAAUCACAUGAAAUCAUGAUGAAUCUCUUGCUGGCGGAACACUUAGAGAGAGAUUUUGAUGGUUGUUUUGGUUAGAUUUUAAGAUAUUCUAGUGUUUUUAGUUGAUUGGUGAUGUGUAGCAUGAAAAUCAAGCAAGAAAAAUUCAUGUUCUUCCAUAAGGCUCAUUGCCCGAAUUCUCCAUGUGGAAUAUUGAUGAUGAUUUUGAUUUUAUUUCAAGUGAAUUGAUUAAGAAAUGAUGAAUUACGGUGAGAAAAUCAAGUAGGAAAAAUCAUAGUAUUGAUGCACCCACCAUGGCCGAAAUUCCCAAGAGAAAAUGUGAAGAUGAUUUUGCUAAAUUUUAUGCUAUUUGACUUGUGUUUGAUGGUUUCGAGAAUUGGAAGAAAAAUAGAGUUAAUUGGAGUUGAAUUGGACAUAUUGGCCAAUUAAUCGAGUGAUAGAUCGAAUUAGGCUAAUACCGUUUUAUUUAGGUACACAAUUAAAUUUGUGUAGAACACCGUCUUUAGACGAUAAUCCGAACAAUUUGCAUUCCAUUUCAGCAUUAGUAUAGAGCUUGAAUUGGCUUUAUAACAAUUUAGCACAAAUGUUGUAAAUGGCUUAUUGUGCAUUAUGUCUAGGUGGUGAGCAUUCUGGAAAAAGUAAAGAGAUAGUACCCGAGGAUCAAGAAUUGGAGUACUCUGAACUCGAUUCCCAUUAUAGUGAGUAACCUUACUAUCAUCUUAAUUAUCUAAAGUGGUUUUUAUUCGAUUUUGUGAUUUUAUGGAAAAUUAGUUAAAUGGUAAAUCUUUGUGUUUUGUAAUUAAAAUGUGAUUUAAUGAAAUGAUUUUAUAACAUUGUCUUGAAAUUGAAUGAUGGUUUGAAAAUAGAGUAAUUAGAGACUGUUUUCAUGUGUUGUAAAUUCAUAGUUUGAAUCGAAUGGCUUAUGACAAUAUUUGCAUGAAUGGCUGAAUUGAUAUUGUGUUGAAAUAUAUGAACUAUGUAUUUAGCCUUAAGAGGUUGAAUUGUGAUAUAAUUGUCAUGUCAUGCGGUUGAGAUUUUAUUGAAUUGGUGGGUUUAGCUUGCUGCAGUGGGCGGGUUUCGUGGACUAGCCUAUUAGAGGAGCACGGUAACCCUGUUAUAUUCUUACCUCGGUCGAAGAGGCGUGUAGGGUAACUCUCGAGGUACAACUUUAGAGUUCACUUCACGCCAAAUCACCAUGUGAGGAUGAACCCAGCCAAUGCCAAGGAACGGCUAUGUUUUCAAAAUAAAAACAUGAUUUAUGCGUACAUGACUUUUUAACAGCCUUAAACGGACUCGGUUGGGAUAGCCCUAAGCUAAGGUAUCUCUGACAACCGAGUGUGAGAAUGAUUUUGGCACGAGCCAAAGUUUUCAGAAAUUCAUAAGCCAUGUUGAUUACUCGAUUUAUAUGAAUUGAUUUUAUUUGGUUGAAAUGAGUUGAAAGUUGAUGAAUUACAAUAUGAUAAUCUAUUUUAAUCUGUCUCCAUUUACUCGACUUUAGAUAUUUUAGAUAUUAUUUGUUUACUCACUGGGAUUAUAUAUUCUCACCACCCUCUUUUUCACCCAUUUCAGGCUCAAGAUAGUCAGUAGACAGCUCAUUUCGUUGAGGGCUACAGUUGGACUUGCAUCCUCAAAAACUGUAAGUUUAUUGCUUUUAAUACUUUUGGUCGUUCGUGGGCCCACAUGUCACUGUAAAUUAAAUCUUAUGCUUUGGUUAUCUGUAGUACAGUAUGUAUGAAUUUAUUUAGCUUUUAAGCUACAAAAAUUAUUUACUGGUAACUCUAUAAAUAUUAUUUUAUAAGAAAAUAGAAUAUUUUAUUGAAUAUUUUUAUUAUAUUCAAAUAGUUAUAGUUUCGCUUUAAAUGAAUGUUUUAGACAUCUAAACUUAUUUUUG